CACGUAGGCACCAAGCGUUGUCCGGAUUUAUUGGGCGUAAAGAGCUCGUAGGCGGCUCGUCGCGUCGACCGUGAAACUUGGGCGUUAACCCUGAGCUUGCGGUCGAUACGGGCAUGACUGGAGUUCGGCAGGGGAGACUGGAAUUCCUGGUGUAGCGGUGAAAUGCGCAGAUAUCAGGAGGAACACCGGUGGCGAAGGCGGGUCUCUGGGCCGAUACUGACGCUGAGGAGCGAAAGCGUGGGGAGCGAACAGGAUUGAGAUACCUGUGAC
This 270-nucleotide ribosomal RNA is filed under the name uncultured bacterium. Its description in RNAcentral is "partial 16S ribosomal RNA". It matches the Rfam family "Bacterial small subunit ribosomal RNA", at positions 524 to 793 of the family's 1533-position model. The record is from RNAcentral.